GACGAACGCUGGCGGCGUGCUUAACACAUGCAAGUCGAACGGAAAGGCCCUGCUUUUGUGGGGUGCUCGAGUGGCGAACGGGCGAGUAACACGUGAGUGACCUGCCCUGGACUUUGGGAUAACUUCAGGAAACUGGGGCUAAUACCGGAUAGGAGCUCCUGCUGCAUGGUGUGGUGUGGAGAGUUUCGGCGGUGGGGGAUGGACUCGCGGCUUAUCAGCUUGUUGGUGGGGUAGUGGCUUACCAAGGCUUUGACGGGUAGCCGGCCUGAGAGGGUGACCGGCCACAUUGGGACUGAGAUACGGCCCAGACUCCUACGGGAGGCAGCAGUGGGGAAUAUUGCACAAUGGGCGGAAGCCUGAUGCAGCAACGCCGCGUGCGGGAUGACGGCCUUCGGGUUGUAAACCGCUUUCGCCUGUGACGAAGCGUGAGUGACGGUAAUGGGUAAAGAAGCACCGGCUAACUACGUG
RNAcentral lists this ribosomal RNA (468 nucleotides) under uncultured bacterium. Its description in RNAcentral is "partial 16S ribosomal RNA". It matches the Rfam family "Bacterial small subunit ribosomal RNA", at positions 28 to 507 of the family's 1533-position model. The record is from RNAcentral.